UGGGGAAUAUUGGACAAUGGGCGAAAGCCUGAUCCAGCCAUGCCGCGUGUGUGAAGAAGGUCUUCGGAUUGUAAAGCACUUUAAGUUGGGAGGAAGGGCAGUAAGCGAAUACCUUGCUGUUUUGACGUUACCGACAGAAUAAGCACCGGCUAACUCUGUGCCAGCAGCCGCGGUAAUACAGAGGGUGCAAGCGUUAAUCGGAAUUACUGGGCGUAAAGCGCGCGUAGGUGGUUCGUUAAGUUGAAUGUGAAAGCCCCAGGCUCAACCUGGGAACUGCAUCCAAAACUGGCGAGCUAGAGUAGGGCAGAGGGUGGUGGAAUUUCCUGUGUAGCGGUGAAAUGCGUAGAUCUAGGAAGGAACACCAGUGGCGAAGGCGACCACCUGGGCUCAUACUGACACUGAGGUGCGAAAGCGUGGGGAGCAAACAGG
Molecule: ribosomal RNA, 429 nt
Filed under: Pseudomonadota bacterium
Lineage: Bacteria; Pseudomonadati; Pseudomonadota
Description: Proteobacteria bacterium partial 16S ribosomal RNA
Rfam family: Bacterial small subunit ribosomal RNA
Source: RNAcentral